UACGUAGGUGGCAAGCGUUGUCCGGAAUUAUUGGGCGUAAAGAGCUCGUAGGCGGUCUGUCGCGUCUGCUGUGAAAACUCAGGGCUUAACCCUGAGCUUGCAGUGGGUACGGGCAGACUAGAGUGCGGUAGGGGAGACUGGAAUUCCUGGUGUAGCGGUGAAAUGCGCAGAUAUCAGGAGGAACACCGGUGGCGAAGGCGGGUCUCUGGGCCGAUACUGACGCUGAGGAGCGAAAGCGUGGGGAGCGAACAGG
This 253-nucleotide ribosomal RNA is filed under the name uncultured bacterium. RNAcentral's name for it is "partial 16S ribosomal RNA". It matches the Rfam family "Bacterial small subunit ribosomal RNA", at positions 524 to 776 of the family's 1533-position model. The record is from RNAcentral.